This 288-nucleotide long non-coding RNA is filed under the name Hordeum vulgare. RNAcentral describes it as "long non-coding RNA (HVUL_LNC003414)". The record is from RNAcentral. Lineage: Eukaryota; Viridiplantae; Streptophyta; Magnoliopsida; Poales; Poaceae.
CCAGGGUAGUCUAAGGUGCUUUGUUUCCCACACAAGUUAGCAGGCUUAGGUUAGGGGCUAAGACAAAGCUAUUAGACAGGAUGGUUGGGCCAGGGAAGAAACUCCACAAUGCAAACACCUUAGGUGUUUGUUGAAAUGCACCCUAGGUGUUUGUUGAAAUGCUAGACACGUCUAAAAGAAUUUUUUCACAUCCAAACUUUCGAGAGUGAUGUCUCUUAAGACAUUAAAAUAGGUGGUGUGGUUAGUUUGGAAAAAAGCAAAACUUGCUAAUGCAAAUGUUUCAGAAAA